Molecule: transfer RNA, 76 nt
Filed under: Hyphomicrobiales bacterium
Lineage: Bacteria; Pseudomonadati; Pseudomonadota; Alphaproteobacteria; Hyphomicrobiales
Also listed under: 4 other names
Description: tRNA-Lys
Rfam family: tRNA
About the family: Transfer RNA (tRNA) molecules are approximately 80 nucleotides in length. Their secondary structure includes four short double-helical elements and three loops (D, anti-codon, and T loops).
Source: RNAcentral
GGGCCCGUAGCUCAGUAGGUAGAGCACCUCCCUUUUAAGGAGAUUGUCACAGGUUCGAUCCCUGUCGGGCUCACCA